Molecule: unclassified non-coding RNA, 148 nt
Organism: Pongo abelii (Sumatran orangutan)
Lineage: Eukaryota; Metazoa; Chordata; Mammalia; Primates; Hominidae
Rfam family: Metazoan signal recognition particle RNA
About the family: The signal recognition particle (SRP) is a universally conserved ribonucleoprotein. It is involved in the co-translational targeting of proteins to membranes.
Source: Ensembl
GCCGGGCGUGGUGGCACACGCCUGUAAUCCCAGCUACUCGGGAGGCUGAGGCAGGAGAAUCGCUUGAACCUGGGAGGCAGAGGUUGCAGUGAGCCAAGAUUGUGCCACUGCACUUCAGCCUGGGUGACAAAGAGAGAUUCUGCCUCAA